Molecule: long non-coding RNA, 187 nt
Organism: Perognathus longimembris pacificus (Pacific pocket mouse)
Lineage: Eukaryota; Metazoa; Chordata; Mammalia; Rodentia; Heteromyidae
Exons: 3
Source: RefSeq, a predicted model, not a curated record
GGUGUGUGUGUAACAGUGGGGGGGGGGGAGGAACACGGAACCAGGCAUACUGAAGAGGCCCCCUAAAAUUCUCAACACGAGUCUCCCACGCCUCUCCACCCCGCUUAGGAUCAAACCUUCGGGGUACCCGUUAUGUAUUAAAGGCUCCAAGAGCGCACAGCUACUGAGACUCUCAGGCCCGCUCGGA